Zonotrichia leucophrys gambelii is the source of this 4297-nucleotide RNA transcript. It is a transcript of the gene named vascular endothelial growth factor A, with no coding region annotated. The record is from RefSeq and is a predicted model, not a curated record. Lineage: Eukaryota; Metazoa; Chordata; Aves; Passeriformes; Passerellidae. The transcript is spliced from 10 exons.
CAGUAACGGAGAGGACAGGAGGAAAACGCUCUAUUCGUCCUUUCCGCCACCACCACCCCGAUUUGCGGAGAGGGGUCAGGCCGAGGGGCGGCGGAAUCAGCCCCUUUCUCCCGGGGAGGCGACCCCGGCUCGGGGAGCCGCCGGAGGCAGCCGCCGCGCAGACGGGGCGCAGGAAAAGAGAUGCAUUGAAAGUUUCCGCGCAAACUUUGCCGUGAGUGCGCGAAUCCGAGCGAGCGCGGCGCGGGUGCCUGCUUGCCCCGACGCGGGGAGAGCGCCGCGGACGGGCGCCGCUGUGGAGCUCGGACUGCCCGGCGGCGGGGGCCGGGCGGCGGCAGGGCGGCCGCGGAGCCUGCGCUCGGCCCGGCGGAGCGCCUACGGAAAGCAGCAGCGGGGGCCGGCGGAGAGCCGGGCUUAUGGAGGGGUGAAACCGGAGACCCCGAAGAGGAGCCCCCCUUACCCCGCAACCCUUCGCAGUACCCGGCCGGCGGCACCCCAGGAGGCGGCGGCGGGCACGGAGGAGGAGCGGACGAGAGCGCGGCGGGGCGGCGGCGGCAGCGGCAGCGGGGCGGCGGCGGCGAGGCGGAGCACGGCGGGCCCCGCUUCGCGGCGUGCGCCGGCAACCAUGAACUUUCUGCUCACUUGGAUCCGCUGGGGGCUGGCGGCGCUGCUCUAUCUGCAGAGCGCGGAGUUGUCGAAGGCUGCGCCUGCCCUGGGGGAUGGGGAGCGGAAACCCAAUGAAGUUAUCAAAUUCCUGGAAGUCUACGAGCGCAGCUUCUGCAGGACUAUUGAGACCCUGGUGGACAUUUUCCAGGAGUACCCUGAUGAGGUGGAGUACAUAUUCAAGCCAUCCUGUGUGCCUCUGAUGAGAUGUGCGGGUUGCUGCGGCGAUGAGGGCCUAGAAUGUGUCCCUGUGGAUGUAUACAACGUCACAAUGGAGAUCAUGAGAAUUAAACCCCAUCAGAGUCAACACAUAUCACACAUGAGCUUCUUACAGCACAGUAAAUGUGACUGCAGACCAAAGAAAGAUGUCAAAAACAAACAAGAAAAAAAAUCAAAACGAGGAAGGGGGAAGGGUCAAAAGAGAAAGCGCAAGAAAGGCCGGUACAAACCACUCAGCUUUCACUGUGAGCCUUGCUCAGAGAGGAGAAAGCACUUGUUUGUACAAGAUCCCCAGACCUGUAAAUGUUCCUGCAAAUUCACAGACUCACGUUGCAAGUCGAGGCAGCUUGAGUUAAACGAGCGCACUUGCAGAUGUGAAAAACCGAGACGGUGAGCAGCGGAAAAGAAGGGGAAACAGCCCUGUUUCUGGAGCCUGAUUUCUCGCCUGGACAGAAUAAAACAAACAAAACACUAAUCCAAAUGAACCCUAAAAAUGAAGGAUCGGUAGAGCACAGCACUUUCAGUACGGACGAUGGACUCCGGAAGGAACAUUCCCCAAGGCACCCGCCGCACAGAAUUCACCUUUGGGUUUUGAACUGUUUUAUUUUAUUUUUCUUUUUAUGCUGCUAAAUAACAGAGCCAGGAAGACUUAUAGGGGUGUAUUUGAUGGGUUUUCCCAUGCAUACAUAUAUAUGUGUGUAUACAUGCAUAUACAUAUAUAUAUAUGUAUAUAUAUUUUAACCACAUCUAUAUAUACAUAUAUGUAUAUCUUAACCACACACACACACACACAUAUAUAUAUAAUAUAUAUAUAUAUAUAUACUGAUUAUUUUUUUUAACAUUGCUAAUGUUAUUGGUGUCUUCACUGGAUAAUACUCGACUGCUGUGGACACAAGCGGGCUACUUGGGGCAUAAGAAACAAGCUAAGACUGGACUUGAGUAGAAGCGCUGGGUGUAAACUUCUUAACUCCAACUGACUUGUGCGGCCUCCGCUGUUUCUCUGUAGAGUGUGCUGUACCACAAACCACCUUCUCCUUGCCUGGGACAGGGAGGAGAGGUGAUGGAGAGGAUGGGCAGGGAGUUCCAAAGAGCGGCAUCCUAGGGUGCGAUGGGUCAAAGGCCAAGGAAAUGGCCAUCUCCGUGAUCAAGGAUUCCUCCUCCCCUCUCUUCCCCCAACCUUCGCCCUUACUCGUCUCAUAACCUGCCUGCCUUGCCGGGACAUGGGAUGUCAGUGUACAUUUUGCGUUGACUUUAUUCGCUGUAGAACCUUUCCCAGAGAGUCAUGCUGGCUUCACUUAAGGAUGGUGGGCAGCUGAUGCACACUGACUUUCUGUUCAAGGAAUUAUCACAGGAGUCUAGAUUUCCCGCCCUUGGUGGCUGCAGAAGGACACAAGGUCUACAAUGUGCUGAAGCAAGAAUGGGGACCGGUGCAUAGCCACACAGUUGUUCAGCACUGUCUGCUUUCUUCAUGCACAGAGCUGCCACUCAAGAGCAUCCAAGAUGCUUAUGGAACAUUUCUGGAAAGGGAUAUUAAUCAGAAGUAUAUACACAGUAGUGGGGGUGUGUGUGUAUGUAUGUGAAUGUAUGCAUUUGUGUGUAUGAAUGUAUGUAUGUAUGUGUGUUUUUCUCUCUUUUUUAUAUAUAUAUAUUUAUUUUUAUACAUAUAUAUAUAUAAAAAAAUAAUAUAUAUGUAUGCCAAGAUUGAAGGGGGGAGAAAAGAAAGCAACUUUUGCUGCCUUCAGUUUGCGUGCCCAGUGUGAACGACCCUUAAGAACGUCAAGUUUUUUUUUUUAAUGACGUACUGUAAAUAUCAGGCCCCUUUUCCAUGUCUUGGGCUGGGGAAUCAAAUGUGAGGACAGCUGGAGUCCCUUAGCUGUGUCGUGAGGUUCUUGGCUAUGUGUGUAUCUGCAGUGUAGGCUGUGGUGUACAUGAAACCCACCUUACACACGCGCGCACACACACACACACCCCUGAAAGUGUGUUUGUACAUCUAUGUGGAUAUAUAUAAUCUAGUUCUGUGAUUAAAAUUAUUAUUAAUAAUAAUAAUAAUCAAAAAGGUACUCAGUCUGUGUCAGAAUGCUGCCAAACAUCAUCUGCAAUUGAAUUUUCAACGCCUGAUAAUGUACAACACGGAAAGCUUCCAAAAAGACAAGACAGUCUAAAAACAGACUCACAACAAGCGACUACUAACCACUAGGAUCUCCCCAUCCGACUGAUGGCUUUCAGAAGGAGAGAAAACACACGGUUUCUCCAGCAUUGCCUCUGGAGGCUACAGGGCAUCAGCAGCCUACCAGUUGGACUCUUGGAUUUGUGCCCAGAGCUUCCAAAAGCACAUAGGUACCUGAAACCCCCUGAAAUGAAUGGGAGGUAGGCACCAGAAUCCUGGAAUGGAGCUCAGCCUGAGUUCCCUGCUUGGUGAGAAGAGGGUGGUGUGAUGGGCAGGACCAAGGGGACAGGACUCCUGGGUUCUUUCCCAGCAUGAUGCCAAGCAGUGUGGUGAUGGUCCCAACCCUGCCUCUUGUCAGGAGCCAAGUCCCAUGAGCUGGGUACUGUACAGGCAUGAGUAGAUGCAAUCCUGGUGGAAUUUACAAUCCAAGGUGAAAGUAAUGCUGUGAUCCUGCCCUUUCUGGUAAUGGACUUGGUGUUUGCAGUUGGAUCUGUGUGCAUGUAGCUCACUGUCAGUGAUGGCUCAGCCAGACCUUGCCAUCCUGGAUGACUUUGAACAAAAAACUGUUUGGCUGUGGCAGUGCUCAUCACUUCAUGAGGGAUCUUGAUACCGUUGCAUCUUUUGUGAUGUGCUUUGGGGUCUAGGAGGAAAAGCUUUGGCAGUGGUGUAAUUUCCUCGUUAUCCAUGGAGAUAAAUGUGUCAUGUGUCAGUCAUCUAUCCACACUGCAAAGGAGCAUGCAGGAUGUUUCCUGGAUGUCUGGGAGGCAACUCACUUAGGGUAAUACAGACCACUGAGUUCAUGGCUGCAUCAUUCCUGCUCUUGUGAAGGUAAAGAAUCUGGCUUCUGUUCAGGAUGGACUCAAGUAGCUCAACAGGUGGACCUGCAGUCACUGCCUCAGCAGAGGGUGGAGCAGAAGAAAGAGGAUGGAGUACCUGAGGACAUUUUGGUUCACUGUAUUCAGUAACGUCUUGUGGACUGCAGGAGUGAGGUGAGAACGUAAGCCAUCUGGAUGUUUCUGCAUGAGGAACCCAAAGGAGUUGCUUCCCUUGUAUAUUCACCACUGGCUUUUGUUCUGUGUGGAUCUAUGGACUCUUUCGCUUGUGGCUGUGCAAGGUGAUGAAGACAGCAAGCCUAUCCUCAGGAGACCUGCUCUGCCUAUUUGCAAUCUGGGAAAUGUUUACAAGUUAUCAAAUUGGAAAAAUUGAAACCCUCAGACGCAAGACUCACGCUGUACCCUGGGAGAAGACCAG